RNAcentral lists this long non-coding RNA (613 nucleotides) under Ananas comosus (pineapple). Its description in RNAcentral is "long non-coding RNA (ACOM_LNC031027)". Lineage: Eukaryota; Viridiplantae; Streptophyta; Magnoliopsida; Poales; Bromeliaceae. The record is from RNAcentral.
AUUGUUAUUUUCUGAAACUUUAAGUUGCUAGCAAACAAUAUUUUUCAACUUUCCAGAUAUUUGGACAAUAAUCACACUACAACAAAAACGGUCUAUAGCGACACUUUUAAAUGUUGGUAUAGGUCAAAAAAAGUGCUGCUGGCUAAAUUACCAACACUUUUAAAAUGUGUUGCUAUAUGUGAGGUCGCUAGAUAUAUAGUGACAGUUAAAGAGUGUCGCUAUAACCUAAAAAGAGUGCUGUUAAUUUAGCAGCACUUAUUUAAGUAUCUAGCAACCGUCAGAACUCUACCUUGUUGGCUGCGGUGGCGGAGGAGGACAAGAGGGAAGGGCUCUUCGUCUAGGAUUUAAGUAGAAUGAGUGAGAGGAGAAGAGGAGAUGGUAAUCGAUUUUUCUUUGUUUUUUCUUUUCUGUUUGUAAUCGAGCCAAAUAGACUGGGUUGGGUGGGUUGAGUAGAGUAACCUUUUAUUUUUUAUUGGAUUCGGCUUUAUAUUUAGACAUUAGUAGAUAUUUUUUAAAAUUUUGGCAUAAAUGAAACACUUAGACACAUGUGUCGCUAUAACCUAAUUCUGUUGUAGUGUCAGUUGUUCUUAAUUCAAAUUUAGUUGCAUCCUAU